Long non-coding RNA from Suricata suricatta (meerkat), 282 nucleotides. RefSeq lists it as uncharacterized. The record is from RefSeq and is a predicted model, not a curated record. The transcript has 2 exons. NCBI's taxonomy places the organism in Eukaryota, Metazoa, Chordata, Mammalia, Carnivora, Herpestidae.
UCUGCCCUGGGUCACUCACUGUGGGGCAGACGAGGGGGAAUUAAGCAUCCACGGCCAGCACCGUCCCCCACCAGCACUGUCCCGCAGCCUCGAGAGCCGGAGCUGGUGCUGCCCUCUGCAGAUGCUACUGGAAUGUCACUCCCCACUGGCCCUUGGCCCCACAGGUGAUUCCAAAGCCCUGCCAUAGAUGAGAACUGCCUGUCCAGCCUGAAAUCUCUAGUCUCCCUCUGGCUCUGUUCUUUUGAACUGACUUGGUUUAAUAAAAUCGUCACUGGAAACGUC